GUUCAUUUAAAUGGGCAUUGCAUCCAAUUAGUAUUACAGGCCAUUAAACAAUUUAUGGAAACAAUUUUCGCCCCGCCUCCACAAAAUACAAAAAUCGAUGGCAUCCAAAAUGCUAAAGACACAAGAAAAAACAGGUAAACAAAAUGUAAGUUUGGCAAAAAUCAAUAGGUAGGUACCAGGUAUCAAAAUAGUGUCUGGACUCACAAUAUUCGUCCUCGAUUAAUUUAUAUUUAUAAUUGGAGUCGCUAUUAUAGCCUCUGUACACUGACAUAAGUUACGUAUCGAUAGUUGAGCAACUCAAUAACUCGAAGGAAAUGAUGGAUUCGAAGAAAAUAGCCUCAGCCCUCUAUUGUUACAUUUCGGCCUACUUCUUAUUAAUAGUUAUGAAUGAAUAAAAAGCAUAAGCAAGUUGAAUUAUGUAAAUGUAGGUGCAGAUUUUCCUUAAAGAAUGUGGGAGCUUGUUGUUGUAAAAUUCCUCCCAUCCCAAGAAAAAUCUUGUACCUAGAAAUAAAUCGUGUUAAAGACAGAAUCAUAUUCUCUCAUUUUGCCUUAAAAAAAUGUGUUUAUUUAUCCUACUCUAAGUAGGAGUCAAAGUAGGCUGUUUGACAAAAUAUAUUUACGUAUGUUUUUCGCGUUUGAUUUGAGCCCUUUGUUUUUCAGUUUCAAACAGAGCGUCGAAGUGCUAACAUCUAAAUUGUGUAAUUUUACACCAAACAAAAUCCCCAAAAGUAAAACUUUAAAUUAUUUAAAUUGAAGUAAAAAAGUGAAAGAUUUUGAAACAAAAAUUCCAAGCAACAAAUUAAUUUCGAAACUAUUUUACUUGUUCUCUUGGUUUUCCAAAAUUAGGAAAAGAAAAUUAAAAUGUACAGAACAGAGGCACAAAAACAAAUGAAGCAUUGCUAUGCUAGUAGAUUGCUUUACAAACCAGUGGUCCCGAAGCAAAAGCCACAUUUCCAACUAGAUGCAUAUACAAAUGAUAACAGUGACCAUAAGCCUGUGUUCGGAAAUAAAACAACAAGCUGGAUUUGGCUGUAGAUUUGGAACUGGAUUUGGUACCUUGAGUCGAGGUAUUCGUGUUGGACGCCAAACACUCGGAGCCGUACUUCGAAGAAAUAAACACUAAUGCCGUGCAGCUUCGGGCUUCAUCUCCGCGGUAUGUUCUAGGGCGCUGACCACUCGCAUAUGCACCUCGCCGGACCGGCCUUGUUCUUGAGAAGAGCCUGGUGGUGGCCUGGCGCAUGGCAUUCACAGAUCGUUGCUCGCUGUGCUUUCUGGCAAGUACAGCGAUCUCUAUGCUCAAAACCUCACCUCACAGCAUUUACGCUUACUACCACCAAUCGAUGCUUAAUGAUAGUUUUCCCCCGUUACUAUCGUUUAGACUUCGGAGGUGUUCCAGGCGGACUUCGAUCCUGGGCUAUUGUUGCGACAGGAGGCUACCAAAACAGGUGUGUACUUCUCCUCCAAAGUGGUAUCCUCUUGGCUUCUUCCUCCACACAACUCCAGAAAUUUACCCAGAAAUUGUAUUUUCCUUUCUUAGCGUUCCUAUGCAUUACGCACCGACCCUCUCGCCACCCGCGCAUGCACUGCAGUCGAACUGUUUCCUCUGGCUGGGCUUCAUCUCAACCAGCAGCUAUGUCUGAAAUUGAACAUCACCUCAAAACGGACGAAGAAACAAUUAAAUGGCAAGCGCCGUCCACCAGCGUCUACAUCGAGCGGUGCGUGAACGACUUUCUCAAGAAGAACGAGGACGGUGUCAGCUCCUUGGAAAAUAUCGUGGAGGUCCCAACCGGGCGUUGGUUGUAGGAUGAUGACGGCAUUGAUGUCUGGAGUAUGGCUCUACUUCCGACCGCCAAAUCCAGCUUGUUUUUUUAUUUCCGAUCAGGGCUACGGUCACUGUUAUCAUUUGUAUAUGCAUCUAGUUGGAAAUGUGGCUUUUGCUUCGGGACCACUGGUUUGUAAACCAAUCUACUAGCAUAGCAAUGCUUCUUAAGUACCUCAAUUGUUUUGAGGUCUUCUUUUUAAAAGCCUGUUAGUUUUUAUAAGCAAUAAAUUGUGCAGAGAUCG
RNAcentral lists this long non-coding RNA (2064 nucleotides) under Drosophila guanche. Lineage: Eukaryota; Metazoa; Arthropoda; Insecta; Diptera; Drosophilidae. The record is from RNAcentral.